CUUCCAGUAAGCUGCCCCUGCACGAAGCCCUGAUCUCUGGCCACUCUGGGCCAGAUGACACAAUCACUCCAUGGGCCACUGCCUGCUUUGCACUGGCAUUACAGGGAAGCUACAGAGAAGCCAGUAUACACUUCUGACCAAGCCCUGGAGUGGGGUGCCCAGGACAGAUGCCAACAGCUGCAGGACCACAGCAGGAGCCUGAGCAGGAGAUAGGAGCCAGAGGUGAGGGUCAGGUGGCAGACCCGACAGAGGGAGAUGGCUGGUGCUGGUGUUGCUGAUGGGGGUGGGGAAUGGUGGGAGUGAUAGGGGUGGGGUGACGGCAGGUGCUGACAGAUGAGAAUGCUGUGGCCAAUGGUGAUGACUGGCAGGAGGAAGGUGUGGGAGGGUGCAGGUUUGUUUGUGAAAAUGGCCGUGCACAGGAGGCAGCUUGCCCUGUGCUUGCACUGGCUUCUGUCCCCACGAGCCCACAACUGGGCAAAGACACCAGGGCAGUGGCAUACCAGCAUUCUGAGUGUUACUUUUCUUUGUGAGGACACUUGUGCUUGCACUGUGCACCUGUUUAUGCUGUGUUUGUACAUGUGUGUGCAGGGCUGGCUGCAGCCUGCUGUGAAGAAUUGGGUGUGUCUUGUGCAAUGUAGCUAUGGGCAUGGGCAGCCCCAGACAACAGGGAAUGCAUUCUGUCCCGUGACCCAGCUGCUCAAAGGUGCACCUAUCAUCCCUUUGGCAUGCUCAUCAGCAAAGUCAUCAACAUUGUUUAAGACCCUCCUAUGGUUCCUCAUGUACCCAGGACACAGGCCGAGGCCUCCAGGGCUCUGAGGUGUGGGCUCUGCUCCCUCUGAAGCCCCAGUCCUGCCAUGGACCCUCCUUCCAACUCCUGUCUAUCCCUCAUACCUGGACUGCACCCAGGGCCUUUGCCUGGCUGUUCCCUCUGUCCAGACCUUCUGUUCCCUUCACUGCCUGCCUACCUACCCCUUCCAUGAGCCGGCUGGUGGCUUCAGCCUUUGGAAGCCUCCUGGGGGAGACCCCUAUGCAUCUCUUCCUCCCACACCCCCCCACUGGCCUUGUCAUUUGGGAGAGGGUCAGACAGGAACCAGGCCCUCCUCCUUGCCCACUGCUGUCUCCCAGUGUGAGUAUGUGCACGUUGGCACCAGAACAUUCACUUCAUCUGUGUGCAGGGGAUCCCCGGCCCUGUGUGUUUAUUUAGAAACCGGAGCUCUGCCCAGUGGCCCAGCUGCAGUCAGGGAGGCCGGAGAAUUCCAGAGGACAGUGGGAGAGCAGAGCAGGGAGUGCAGGCACUGGGGGAUUGACCCACCCUCCAGGGUCAGGGGCUGGGUGGUGUCAGGGUCUCCUCCAGGGUGCACAGCAGGCAGACACAGUGUGGUUUGGCCAAAUCUUGCACCCACAGCAACUCACACGAGUCUUCCGCUGAGCCACGCUCACACAUGUGGAAGUCUGCAUGCCUGCACACACGUGCCCGCAGCCUGCCGGACACACACGUGCACGCGUGGCACACAUGUACACAUGCACACAAACACGCUUGCUCACGCCUGUGCACGGCGUAUGGGGCACGGGGACCAGUAGAGAUGGGGACUCAGGAUGACACGCGAGGCGCGUCACCGGCUCCAGCGGCUGGAGCGGACCGGCGGGUGAGAAGCGGCAGUCGCGGCUGGGUCUGCCCAAGAUGGGGCCUGAGCCGCCGGCCGGCCGCGGAGGAGACGGAAGGGGAGGGCGGGGCGGCGCGGGAGCAGCGCGGGCGCCCUCUCUCGGCCGUCCGGGGAGGCGCGCCCAGUUCUCCGCCCUCCGCUACUGCAGCCCCGCGCCAGCCGCCUGGGCCUGGAGCCCCCCGUGGUCCCCAGGAGACCAGUUCCGAGGCCUGGAGGCCCGCUCCAGGAGGUGGGACCGGGCCAGGCCGGCAGGCCAGGGGGAGAGGGUGCCGCAGGAGGCUGCCUGGGCCUGGAGCGCUCGGCCGGCCUUGCCAGGAACCAGCUCCUGCCCGGCCCCGCGGCUGUGUGACCGCAGGCCCGAGCUCCCUGCGACCCAGCCCGCCCGGACGCCGCAGACUCAGCACGCUGCGGACCCAGCACAUUAGAUCUCGGGUCGGGGCUGGGAGGGCUCCGAGAGCAGAGCCUGCGCCCCAUUUCACAGACGCGGAUACCGAGGCCAAGCGGGCCCGGAGCCUGGAGCACGGGAAGGGACCAGGGGGGCUCCACAGCUCGACUGGUCCCCUCCCUGGCCCGGGAUCCGGAGGAGUGCGGCGUGAUGCCGAGGGCCACGAGUCGCCCUCUCUCCGCCCCCGCGAGGGACCGCGGCGGCAACAGGCGCCCUUCCCAGGUAUCGGAGGCGGCAAAGUGCCCGCUCUCGCCCCCGGCGCAGCGCCCGCCCGCGGAGCCGCAUGCUGCUCCGGCAGCACCCCCGGCCUCCAGGCUCUGAGCUCCUGCGCCAGCCUCCCGCCCCCCAGAUCCAGGCGCAACAAGUCUGAAAACAGCUACGAGGACCAGCGAGCGAGCCAAGAGGGAGAGCGCUGGGCGCUCCGGGAUCCCGGACGCGCGCCACAUCCGCCUCCAGGGACCGGGCGCGGGCGCCGGGCGCCGGGGACUGACUCUGCGGGCUGCCCACACCCGCUUCCAGGGUCCCAACUCCUCCUGGGCGGGGGCGCUCCCCGGAACCCCUCCGCUACCCCCUUCCCCUGCUUGACCUUGCUGGGGUUCUCAAAGCCGGACCUGGCGGCACCCCGGCGAGCAGGGCGUAGAGUUUUGCUGCCGCUGCGGGUCCGGAAAGCAAAGGCUUCCCUCUCGACCUCCUUUUCUGCCUCCUCAGCUGCGUGGGUCGCCGAACAAUGGAACGCUUGAGGGUUCUGGGGGACGUUAUAGUAGCUCCCCCAGACCCCAAACACGGUGACUCCCCACACCUGCCUCAAGUCUGCUGCAGCCUCAUACCCUGGCUCUCCCCUCGUUCCCACCGCCUCUGAGUGAGGCUUGGAGAAGCCAGCCUGCCCUCCCCAAUCCUGGACCAAUCUGCCCAGUGGCCGCCUGCCCUUAACAGUCCUCUGCCUGCAAUCUUCUGAUGUGGAAGAUAGAUGAUGGAGGUGAUGGUGAUGAUAUUAACAGUGUUGGGCGGCGCCUGUGGCUCAGAGGGGAAGGGCACAGGUCCCAUAUGCUGGAGGUGGCGGGUUCAAACCCAGCCC
Molecule: RNA transcript, 3184 nt
Organism: Nycticebus coucang (slow loris)
Lineage: Eukaryota; Metazoa; Chordata; Mammalia; Primates; Lorisidae
Gene name: mucin-1-like
Exons: 3
Source: RefSeq, a predicted model, not a curated record